GCAAACUUGGUCAUUUAGAGGAAGUAAAAGUCGUAACAAGGUCUCCGUAGGUGAACCUGCGGAGGGAUCAUUAUAGAAAACCUUUUAACAGAAGUGAUGAGAGAGAGAGAGAGAGAGAGAGGGGGGAGAGAGGGGCUAUAACUCUCACACUUUCUCUCACUCUCACUUGUCAUUUCUGAACAAACAAACAUAUGCGACUAAGAAAAACCAAAGAUUGAGAGAUUUGAUUUGGAGCCUUGGUUGAUUGGUGGGGGGGGUGAUAUCUCUCGCAAAAGUUCCUGUCUGAUAAGUAGCUUAUGUGAUUUGGAGUUACUGAAAUCAAUACAACUUUCAACAACGGAUCUCUUGGCUCUCACAUCGAUGAAGAACGCAGC
Molecule: unclassified non-coding RNA, 374 nt
Filed under: uncultured fungus
Lineage: Eukaryota; Fungi
Description: partial contains small subunit ribosomal RNA, internal transcribed spacer 1, and 5.8S ribosomal RNA
Rfam family: Eukaryotic small subunit ribosomal RNA (bases 1-73)
Source: RNAcentral